Non-coding RNA from Rattus norvegicus (Norway rat), 69 nucleotides. NCBI's taxonomy places the organism in Eukaryota, Metazoa, Chordata, Mammalia, Rodentia, Muridae. The record is from Rfam.
GGGGAUUUAGCUCAGUGGUAGAGCGCUUGCGUAGCAAGCACAAGGCCCUGGGUUCGGUCCCCAGCCCCC